This 440-nucleotide ribosomal RNA is filed under the name uncultured bacterium. RNAcentral's name for it is "partial 16S ribosomal RNA". It matches the Rfam family "Bacterial small subunit ribosomal RNA", at positions 338 to 795 of the family's 1533-position model. The record is from RNAcentral.
CCUACGGUGUGCAGCAGUAGGGAAUAUUGCUCAAUGGGGGAAACCCUGAAGCAGCAACGCCGCGUGGAGGAUGAAGGUUUUCGGAUUGUAAACUCCUUUUGUUAGAGAAGAUAAUGACGGUAUCUAACGAAUAAGCACAGGCUAACUCCGGGCCAGCAGCCGCGGUAAUACGGAGGGGGCAAGGGUUACUCGGAAUCACUGGGCGUACAGAGCGCGGAGGCGGGAUAGCAAGUCAGAUGUGAAAUCCUAUGGCUUAACCAUAGAACUGCAUUUGAAACUGUUAUUCUAGAGAAUGGGAGAGGUAGGUGGAAUUCUUGGUGUAGGGGUAAGAUCCGUAGAGAUCAAGAGGAAUACUCAUUGCGAAGGCGACCUGCUAGAACAUAACUGACGCUGAUGCGCGAAAGCGUGGGGAGCAAACAGGAUUAGAUACCCUUGUAGUC